RNAcentral lists this ribosomal RNA (351 nucleotides) under Salmonella enterica. RNAcentral describes it as "bacterial LSU rRNA". It matches the Rfam family "Bacterial large subunit ribosomal RNA", at positions 1271 to 1623 of the family's 2925-position model. The record is from RNAcentral. Lineage: Bacteria; Pseudomonadati; Pseudomonadota; Gammaproteobacteria; Enterobacterales; Enterobacteriaceae.
UGCUGGAGGUAUCAGAAGUGCGAAUGCUGACAUAAGUAACGAUAAAGCGGGUGAAAAGCCCGCUCGCCGGAAGACCAAGGGUUCCUGUCCAACGUUAAUCGGGGCAGGGUGAGUCGACCCCUAAGGCGAGGCCGAAAGGCGUAGUCGAUGGGAAACGGGUUAAUAUUCCCGUACUUGGUGUUACUGCGAAGGGGGGACGGAGAAGGCUAUGUUGGCCGGGCGACGGUUGUCCCGGUUUAAGCGUGUAGGUGUGUGUUCCAGGUAAAUCCGGUUCACUUUAACACUGAGGCGUGAUGACGAGGCACUACGGUGCUGAAGCAACAAAUGCCCUGCUUCCAGGAAAAGCCUCUA